This 497-nucleotide ribosomal RNA is filed under the name uncultured bacterium. RNAcentral's name for it is "partial 16S ribosomal RNA". It matches the Rfam family "Bacterial small subunit ribosomal RNA", at positions 28 to 507 of the family's 1533-position model. The record is from RNAcentral.
GAUGAACGCUGGCGGCGUGCCUAAUACAUGCAAGUCGAGCGAACGGACGAGAAGCUUGCUGCUCUGAUGUUAGCGGCGGACGGGUGAGUAACACGUGGAUAACCUACCUAUAAGACUGGGAUAACUUCGGGAAACCGGAUCUAAUACCGGAUAAUAUUUUGAACCGCAUGGUUCAAUAGUGAAAGACGGUCUUGCUGUCACUUAUAGAUGGAUCCGCGCUGCAUUAGCUAGUUGGUAAGUUAACGGCUUACCAAGGCAACGAUGCAUAGCCGACCUGAGAGGGUGAUCGGCCACACUGGAACUGAGACACGGUCCAGACUCCUACGGGAGGCAGCAGUAGGGAAUCUUACGCAAUGGGCGAAAGCCUGACGGAGCAACGCCGCGUGAGUGAUGAAGGUCUUCGGAUCGUAAAACUCUGUUAUUAGGGAAGAACAUAUGUGUAAGUAACUGUGCACAUCUUGACGGUACCUAAUCAGAAAGCCACGGCUAACUACGUG